CUAAGCAUUUUAACUAAUUUAAUCCUGAAAAAAAUCCUCUAUAGUUAUUACUAUUUUUAUGCCUAUUUUACAGAUAAGGAAGCUGAAGCUUUGAGAAUUUAAUUUGCUCAAGGGGAGGCCAGGACAAGAAAUAAUGAAGAGUCCGAUGUGGCAGGAAUGUAGGAAACAAGUCAAUGAUGGAAGAUAAAUAUGGAGACGUGAUGAAGGCAAAAUUCUGAAGGGUCUUAGAGCCCAUUAUAAGACAUUUGGUUUUUAUGACUAUGCUGUGCAAGACUUGGUAAACUGGUCCCUACUGCAGAGGAUUUUAUACAGAGCACGCUAGUGGCUCACAGGUAGUGUCUUAUUGAAUGUUGAAUUUCCACACUUUUGACUGCAUGAAUCAGUAAAUACUUGGGUUUAUUUUGCCACAUAGAGGUCUACAUUGGUUUAAUACAAGUAAAUAGCAAUAAUGAUAACAGUCACUGCCAUUAAUGGAGUGUCUCCUUGAUACCAGACACUGUCUCAGAUGACUUGAAUUAACUCUUUAAACCCACAUGGCCCUGGUCCUGAAAGGUGGUAUUAUUCAUUUUUAUAGAUGAGGAAACUGAGACACAGGCACCACUACUUCAACCUUGGCCCCAAACCAUUUUUAUCUGCCCUGAAUAAUUUGCUAGUUCUCCUCUUUCAGUAUGCCAGUCUUCUCUAUCCAUUGGUCUAUAGUUGGUUGCAAUUCAUCUUUGUCACCUGUUCCUGACACUGACCAAUUACUGACCAUAUCUCCCUAUUCUCUGCCAUGUGAUAACCUUUGAUUCUCCCAAAUAAACUCUUUCCUUAUCUCUACCCUAUUGAAACCAACCACCCCUCUCUCCACACAGAAUAUUUCACUGAUUGCCUUGCCCGCCUCUCAAAGGCCCACGUCUCUGUGGAAUGAUGCAGUUGCUAAGAAGAGCUGUUAAUGUCAUGACCUCAAUGAAUAAAAAAGACUUCCUUUUCUCCAUGCCCACUCAAGUAAAAAGCUUCUCUCUGAACUCCUGCUAAUUUUUCAUCAGCAAAGGUGCACAGCCUUUUGGAAGCGAAAUGAUUACUAGUGAAGAAAAAGAAAGAACCUAACACUUAUUUUACAAGCCUCCCAGUGACCACUCUUCAGACAAAGCUUCUUAUAAUAGCUUCCUUCCCUGAAUCUUUUGCGAAACAUCAAAUCACAAAGAGAUCUUAUUGUGAGUAUUACUUAAAAUUUUUUCCUGUCUUAUGUA
Molecule: long non-coding RNA, 1232 nt
Organism: Pan troglodytes (chimpanzee)
Lineage: Eukaryota; Metazoa; Chordata; Mammalia; Primates; Hominidae
Exons: 3
Source: RefSeq, a predicted model, not a curated record